CCUCAUGUGUCUACAUUCAAAUUUUGAAACCACUUUUAAAUUUUUAAACGCUUUUUUUUAAUAUUUUCGUUGCGAAAAAGAAGCAUCUACAUGUUUGAGCCGGACCGUGGCCAUGACUGUGGGGAAGCUCAAGCUUGGGCCCACCCCCUUCGCACCGUGCGCGUGCGCCCUAGCCGCGACCAUGCCUCCACAACACAGUGCAUGAACACGUGUGAGCUUCACCUAGGCAUGGCCGCUGCAGGUAAAGCUGGUAUAAAUCCACCAUGGAUAAUUACUAUAUGAGCGUUUGGAGAUGGGCCAAUUUUAAUCCUCACAGAGAUUAUAUGGGUCAAAGAGCUUAUCCAGUGGUUAGGACGGUGACGAAGGAUAUGAGACAACAUUACCCGUACCCGUCAUUGGCCUUACCCGUGAAAGGCCACACAUAUAGGCCCUAAAACCAGUAGACGUUAGAUAAUUCUCGUCCACCCACCCAAAUUUCAUCCCAUCGCAUCUAUUUUCCUUAAAAAUUCCAAAGAAAACCAUAAUGUAGCUACAAGAGAACCCCAAAUGACCUUAUAUUUUGCUUGUUGUGUUGAAUUGAGGUUUUUUUUUCUCCUGAGAUGUUAUUGGAUGUUGUCACUGAUUGCGGGUGUCGGUUUCCUCGCGAGGAUGCAAAUUUUUAUAUCCUACUAAAUGUGGACGGUGAUGAGAGUCCAAUAUCCAAAUACAUGGUUGGGUAAUCCUUAUUGUCAACUUGAGAUGUAAGCAUGUGUCUUGAGAAGAGGAGAGAACAUAUAUAUGAUAAAACUGGCAAAGGGGAGGAGAAAAGAUUUGUGGAGUCCAUAGGACACGUGUAGCAUGGAGAAGGCAACGGACCCGCGACGCAUUUUUAGCCGGCUGAACAGAAUCAUUUCUCUUUACUCAUCGUGUUCAUGUUCAUGAAUCAUGAUCCCUGAGCAAACAGUGUUCAUGUUCAUGAAUCAUGAUCCCUGAGCAAACAGUCACUGCAUCCCACACCUACCCUGGCACUCGUGAUUUAUACCCCCGCACCUGCCCCGGUGUCUCCGUCCUACUCCUCCGGCGAUUUAAACAGCAAACUCCGCGACGCCACAACCCACAAGUGCAUCAGCACCAACGAUCACAAUCGUACAACACGAGAGAGUGAGUAGAAGUGUAGUCGCUAGCUAGACUAGUGCAGCGCGGCGCCAUCGCCUCACACUGCCCCGGUGUCUAGCAAGGAAGUCAUGUAGAACCAUAUAGCCUCGCUCCUGCUCUGCCUCGUGCUCGUGGCGCACGGCGUGGCAGAGGUCUCACUUCUAGCCGCCGCCACCUUGGAGAAUGGCGCCGGUGUCAGGGAGGAGGACGAGCACGUCUGUCCCUACUUGGUUGCAUUGGACGCCAGGUUCUCCAAUACCUGGCAGGUUCUUCAAGGAUGAUCUCACCCGAGCUAUGAUCCUGUGAUGGUUCCUUCUCUGUGGAUGUCCAUCGCCCGCGCCUCGGUACAUCGGUAACUCUUUGGGUGAUCAGUUUGAUGAGGAACCGCGAGUGAACUAGAUUAUACUAGAGAUGUAUUCGAGAUGUAUUAAGUUGAUUAUUGGUUGUAAUUGAAAGAGAACCUUUUUGCCUCUUGAGAUCUAUUGGAGGACAAGCGCUUUUUUACUUUGUUGCUGGAAAAAAAUAAGCUUCUUAGUGUCGGCAGGUCCAUCAUUGCAUGAUUUUUGUUUUUUUGUUGUUGUAGCCUUUAGGAUAGGUUUUUAUUUCCAACAUCUGUGAUUUUUAAUCUUAUAUAGAAUCAUGAACACAGGAAAUGGCGUGGUCCGAUGACUAUAGGAUCCAUGCGUGCCAUUUGUGCUGGGAUGACAGGGGUAUAUGCGACCAUUAUCCUCACCUAGAUAACGAUACAUCCUUCACCGUCAAGCUGAAGGAUGACUUCCCGAUUAUUAUGGUCUGUAAAGACAUCAUGUAUUUUUUUAUUCAAGUAUGAUGUGUGCUUUUUUUGCUUUAGUUAACCUUUAAUUUUCUUGUGUAUAAUUCGACUAGUGGGUUCCCUGCCAUGCAAGAUUUGCUGUCUUGGACAAGUUUCACUUUAAAAAGAAGGACAAUACAGAGCAUGAGCAGAGCAUUUCGCUUUUGUUGUCAAGGUAAAAAAUGAUGAAGAACACACAUAUUUUGGAUGUUCUGAUGGGAGAGCAUUUUGCAAGGCAUAUGGGUUGAAUGAGGACAUGAAGAUUACCUUCGAUUUUGGUAAUGAUGAUGUCCGUGAUAAUAAUAUUGAAAUUUGGAUGCAUGCGGAGGAUGACUUGAUUCCAGUUCUACCUUCAGAUGUGUUUUGUCAACAAAUUCGUUAGGUAAUUUAUAUUGAAUAUUGAAAAGUAUCUUGUACUCAUCCCGAUUAAAUUUCUUUAUUUUCAAUUAUUAGCUUAUCUCCGUGCUACAAGAACUACACGGGAGAUAGUAGAUCAGACCUAUUACAGUUAUGGCUCCGACCUUACUUGGUUAGAGAAAAAUAAUUUCAUCUCAUUUUUUCAUGAUGUUGACAAUCAUGCUAAAAAUUACAUGACUGACAACGUUUAUUAUGGAUAUGUGCCACUAGUGCACCAGUUGAGCCCUUAUAACAUUACUUCAAACAAUUUUGUAAGAUUUUUUUACCAUUGCGUCACUAAUCCAUCUUUUUUAUACAUUAUUCUUAAGCAAAACUAGUUUUCUAACUAUAUUAUUAUUACUAACAGGUACUCCCGCCAGAGACCGUGCCUAAAUGGAUGCUUACCACCGAUGAUUUGCAAAUAAUUAGUUUACAGCCAACCCCGAUUAAUUACCGUGGUAAAUACAGGAUAUCUUAAACUGAAGACACUCUGAAAAUCAAAGGAUGGAGAAAUGCAAUACAAGCAUCCAUGAUACCAUUUGAAGAGGAAUACUUGUGCAUCCCAAGUUGGUGAUAGGUUGAUCUGUGUUCUUCACUGGCGUUCUCUCUGUGCGUAGCCGCGGCAAUUUUCUGCAACGUGCGGCAAAUAGGGUUUCCCCUUUGCUUCUGCGCCGCCUGCCAGAGGUAACGAGGAGGAUGGGCCGAGGAGGGGUUUGUUAAAGGAGGCGAGGAGCGCCACCGCACGUCUCGCCCUGGAGCGACACGAGGCCUUUUUUUGGUGCUAACUUUUAGUUUCGUUAGGCUUGCAAAAUGGUGGUAUGGUUCGUCGUACUUGAGAUAUAUACCUCUUCUAUUGUGUAACAUAAUUAAUUCAGGAAAGACAAAUUCUCUCCAACUGAUGUUGCUCCAUAUUUAUUAGGAUUUCUAUUUCUCGUCUAAAUCUAUGUUACAACGAAUGUAUUUUUUAAAGAACACAUAUACAAAUUUCCUUUACAUAUCCAUCAAGCAACCGACCAAAUGAGCACAUUAGGGCAAAGAUCUAGGCCAAGUGAUAACAUGAGUCAAGUCGUAAGUUGGGAGUUCGCCUUAAUUUUACAGGAAUUUCUAGAUGGGUGAUGUUCAACAUACAUUUCUUAGAUGAUAUUGAUCAUAUUUUCUUCUCAAAUGCGACAUUUCUUUUACUAUGAAAUUUUAUCUUACUAUCGUUGCCGAAACCGAAGAUGAAUCAUCUCUUCUGAUUUUCACUCCAAACUAUGCAUCCAAUGGUGUCUUGGUUUCCUCUGGUUUUCACUGCCAGCUCUAUCACUCCAAACUAGAUUUCUCAAACUAUUUGACAAUAAUUAAUUUCUUAAUUUAUAUUGACGUUCUUUCCUUUUAUUUCCAUUUCAAGCUCUGUCACGACAUCGAAUAAGGUUGAAGUGGCGGCAGAUUUCUUUUAGGGCCUUGAGCGAUUUCAAGAACUGGGCUUUGAGGCCCCCUAUAGUCACGAAAUACCAGCAAUGGAUUCACCAUGUCUCCCCCACUUACUUCAUAGUCACCUCCACCUGAUGUGUGGAACCGAUGCUCAGGGUAAACCACGGCUGGGCCCGCCCAUUUACAGAACACUGUAGCGAUACGUCGCAGAGGCGACCGAUUUGGGAGGUACUGUAGCGUUUUCGCAAGAUUACUGUAGUACUGGUUUCCCCCAGUUUUUCUUAUUUCCGUUCUGUUGUCUGAAGUAACCCGUAAAUUUUUAAUUUGAAUUUUUUUGGAAGUUUAGAACAUUUUUAGAAAAAAUGAGAACAAUGUUUGAAGUUCCUAACAUUUUUGGAGAACACUAACAAUCCUAAAAAAUGCAACAUUUUUUAAAUGCGACCAAAAUUUGUAAUGAGAACUUUUUAUGGAAUUUUGAAUAAGAAAACCACAAUUUUUUGAACUAAUGAGGAAAAAAAGGACAUUAUUUUACUUUUUUUCAACUUCUUUUUAAAAAUACUGAUAUUUUUUUGAAAUGCAAAAAUGUUCUGAAUAUAUGAACAAAAUUAUAAACCCAAACAUUGUUUUAUAUUUUAAACUUUUUAAAAAUACNNNNNNNNNNNNNNNNNNNNNNNNNNNNNNNNNNNNNNNNNNNNNNNNNNNNNNNNNNNNAGACAUCUUUUAAGUAUAUGAACAAAAUUUAGAAAUACUGACAUUUUAUGUAAUUUUAAACAUUCAAAAAAAUUCUAUCCAUUUUUUAAAAGAACGAAACAUUUUUGAAAAGGAAAAGUAAACUUGAAAAGAAAAAAUACAAAAAUAAAUAGAUAAAAAAAUGUCAAGAACUCAUGGAAGGUUCCUAAAACUUAUGAAAAAUGGCUUGGAACCAAGGUUCCGAAAACCGGGAUCACUGGAACGCUUUAGCGGGUCAUUGCUCGAUCGCCAACUCGUGCAUCAUAUAGGGUUUUCCCUGAAAACAAUAUAGGGGUUUCUCCUAUUGAUUCUUGAACAAACAUUCACCGCACCCAACCCUACAAAAAGUAAAAAUGAAAUCAUACCAUCCCAUGCCGCUCUAACUCGCACUCGCCUCAUUUACACACCUGCAGCUGCCCUGGUUUCUCCAUGACCCCAUCGUACUCCUAGUCGGCCCAUUUAAAACAUGAGCUCCACCGCAACCACAAGUGCCUCAAUAGCAGAGCAAGUGAGCAACGAUCUCACGCGCCCAACACAAUAGAAAGCGGGUCAAGAAAAACAUGUUUGUCGGCGUGGGACGCAUGGGAAACCUACUGGGUCUUACGGACGUCAGAGGCGGCUACGGUUGGGGUUUUGACAACAACUUUGCCGGCGUCUUCAUCGACGUCAUCAGUCUGAUCAAUGGCGUAAGGGGCGGCGUGGGGAGCCUGUCAGCGUUUUGUGGUGUCGGAGGAGCCCACGACAUCCCUUUCGGAGCUUUCGCCGGUGACAGCGGCCCAUUUGGCAGGCCGGCAGACGGGUACAGCGGUGGAGGAGCCGGCGGAGUCACCGCUAGGCUAUGGCGUCGUGGCCGAGCUAGCGAGGGCGUCGUGGUUCAUGCAUAUACCUACGUUACCCUAUCUAUGGGAAAUGCUUGGUGGAUCGCACUAGCUUAGCGUACGUACAUGCAUGGACCUAGGUUAUGUUCCUGAAGUUGCACUGGGUUCAGGCGCAGUAGUCCUAUUUUUCUACUGGUUUGUACGGCUGGCCACUGUGUGAGGCAAGAAGCUGGCCACUGUGUCUGUAGUUAAAAGGGAUUCAGGGUUGUGGUUGUGUUUGGUCGUAUGAACGGCUGUAUCCGACUAGCUAGCUAAAAUAGCUCUUCUCGUGAUGUUUUUUGUUUCUUGAACAGGUAGUCAAGUUAGCUUGCUCAACCUGUUCCAAACUCAAGUCCAGUUCAUGUGAAUUGUGUUUUCUGUUUACGUGGCAUUAUUAACAUCUGGAAAGACAAGGAAACCUCACUAAUUGUGAUCUAUGCAUGGCGUAGUCUGAGGAAAAAAAUCAAUCUAGCUGUGAGAUCACAAGUCACACAAAAAUAAUAAAAAUUGAAUUGAAGAGACAAAUGAUAUACAGAAAAUCGGAUACCUCAUAAACGAGAAGACGAAAAUGAAUUAUUCUUGUUGGUCCUCCCUACAAAAAAAAUCUAGUUGUUCUAAAAAAACACACUAGUCAUUCAAGGUUUCAAUCUAAAUCAUCGUGAUAAAAGUUGCCUGCCCUUCUACAUGUGAACUUUAUGAACUGAGGUGUUGAUUCUUGAACAAACAUUCAGAGCACCCUACCCUACAAAAAGUAAAAAUAAAAUCAUACCACCCCAUGCCGCUCUAACUCGCACUCGCCUCAUUUACACACCUGCAGCUGCCCUGGUCUCUCCAUGACUCCAUCAUACUCCUAGUCGGCCUAUUUAAAACACGAGCUCCACCGCAACCACAAGUGCCUCAAUAGCAGAGCAGCGAUCUCACGCGCCCAACACAAUAGAGAGCGGAUCGAGAACAUGUUUGUGGGCAUGGGAAGCAUGGGGAACCUACUGGGCCUCCCACCCGUCAGAGGCGGCUACGGUUGGGGCUCUGGCAAUAACUUUGCCGGUGUCUUCAUCGGCGUCACCAGUCUGAUCACUGGCGUAGGGGGCGGCGUGGGGAGCCUGUCAGCGUUUUGUGGCAUCGGAGGAGCCGGCGGCAUCCCUUUCGGAGCUUUCUCCGGUGGCAGCGGCCCAUUUUGCGGGCUGGCGGACGGGUACAACGGUGGAGGCGCCGGCGGAGCGAGGGCGCCCUGGUUCAUGCAUAUACCGAUGUCACAAUGUCUUGCGUGGACCUAGGUUAUGUUCAUGAAGUGGCACUGGGUUCAGGUGCAGUGGUCCUAUUUUUGUACUGGUUUGUACGGCUGGCCACUGUGUCAGGCAAGAAGCUGGUGUGUCUGUAAUUAGAAGGGAUUCAGUGUUGUGGUUGUGUUUGGUCGUGUGAACUACUGUAUCUGACUCUCGAAACAGGCUUUUGCCCCGUUUUGUCUUACAAAGCAACCACUUCUGGUACAUCCAACGAUAGGUGCUGGGACGGAAACAGCGCAGACACGUUAAAAGAAACAACAAAGAAAGAGUAAAAGAAACAAAUGCUGACAACGGCGGAUCACCGAAAACGGAGAAGCCUCGCGACCGCUGCGCCGACCUAAGAACACCCACCAAGCUCCUAGACUCCGAGACGCCAGUACCAAUCAACACCUCCAAGAAGGGACGAGGCGAUGACGACGCUGCUGCUAAGGGAUUCCUCCGAUAUGCGGCGAGGGGAAAGGAAGGGUAGCCCCGACGCCCUUCAGGAAGGUCUGGCGGAACCCGCAGGCGCCACCGCGUCGGUGUCGCCCAGGCCGACUGGGAUUUCUCCCGGUCCCAACCUCCACCUCAGGCGCAUCGGAGCCCGCCACCAAACCGACCACAACCCCGCGCCAACACAGACUUGAAGCUUCCACGCCGGCUCACCAGAGCAACGCAAGGAGGGGUCUGCACGACGAGGAAGAGGAGCUGAGGCUAGGGGCAUCAUCACCAACGACACACAGGGGGGCACAACCUCCACUGUCAAGGACGGUAACCAACAGGACGCGAUAGCGGGAGCAAACAAGGCCCGUGGCCAAAGGCCCGGCCGGGGCUUCAGAUGCCCGUAAAGCUCCCGCCGUCGCGCUGCAGAAAGCACGCCGUCUGCGACGCCGCCCCCCGUCCAAGCUGCUCCUCCACACCUCCGCACAGGGGGCAUGAUGGCCGCGGCAACACGACCAGUCUGCCUCGUCGCCAAGUGGAAUCCCCACCACCAUGCGCACCGCCGGCCACCUCCUCCAAGGCGCCGGACCGCCCGCGACGGAAGAGACCAACCGCAACCGCCGAGAGACCGAAGCCGGACCCCAACCCCAUUCACGCCGUCACCGCCAACCGCCGACCUCACAACGUGCAACCAUGGUGGGAGAGAUGGGAGGUGUCUCCUUCCGCUCCUAGCCCGACAUCAGCCACCUGGCCUGGGUGAACGCCCCCACAUUAGGGGCAUCCACUCCUGCGUCCCCGACAAUCAUCGUCGACUGUGGGGAACACAACCUAGUAGCUGCCGACAGCCACCACCUAGCAAGCCCCGGCAUGGUCCACAACCAGCCCGAGACAAACUCACACGCCACCACAGCAAUAGUCAGUGUCGUCGAUCCGUCCGUACAAUAGCAGCAACACGGGCGCACUCGGACCGACGUCACAAAGGAGCAACCAGAAAGGGGCACUAACACGGCGGCAAGCACCACCGCGGACUAGGUCGGCCCACUGCCCGUGCACCGCCGACCGCCAUCCUUCGCCACAGACCAGAUCCGCACCGCCACCUGCAGUCCCAGAUCGACCGCUGCCAACCGAGGCAGCAGCGCCGCCCCACCGCCGUCCGGGAAGCCCCGAGCAGCACCACCGCGACGGGCGCGCGCUGCCUCGCCGGAUCCACCGGCCACACACACCCGUCGCCCCCGAGCACUUGGCCCUGCGCCGUCAGCUACGUCCCGCACCAGAUCUGGCCGGGAAGAGGCCAACCCGCCACCACUGAGGACCUAGUAGCCCACCACGUUCUUGUGUUGCCUACCUGUCAUUGGUCCAACUACUGUAUCCGACUAGCUAGCUAAAAUAGCUCUUCUCGUGAUGUUUUUUGUUUCUUGAACAGGUUGUCAAGUUAGCUUGCUCAAGCUAUUCCAAACUCAAGUCCAGUUCAUGUACAUUGUGUUUUCUGAUUGCGUGGCAUCAUUAACAUCUGGAAAGACAAGGGAAACCUCACUAAUUGCGAUCUAUGCAUGGCGUAGUCUGAGGAGAAAAAAAAUCUAGCUGCGUGAUCACAAGUCACAUAAAAAAUAAUCAAAAAUGAAUUGAAGAGAUAAAACGAUAUACGAAAAAUCAGAUACCUGAUAGACGAGAAGAAGAAAAUGAAUUUUUCUUGUUGGUCCUCCUACAAACAAAAUCUAGUCGUUCUAAAAAAAACACACUAGUUAUUCAAGGUUUCAAUCUAAAUCAUCGUGAUAAAAGUUGCCUGGCCUUCUACAUGUGAACUUUAUGAACUGAGGUUAGAGAUCGCUUGGCCCAGCAGCAUUCAUGUUGUUGGCCUUAUUAUUUUGAAACGUAGUAAAAGUUUUGUCUCGUCUCAUUAGUUAAAAAGGGUUUAGAAAUAAGUACAAGAAUUCAAAACACAAACGCAAAAAUGCCUUCGGGAUCGCUGGAACGCCUUAACGAGUCGGCCUAGCUCAUUGCUCAAUCGCCGACUCGUACGUCAUAUAGGAGUUUCCCUAGAAACAAUAUAGGGGUUUCUCCUCCUGAUUCUUGAACAAACAUUCACAACACCCUACCCCGCAAAAAAUAAAAGCAAAAUGACAGCGCCCCAUGCCGCUCUAACUCGCACUCGCCUCAUUUACACCCCUGCACCUGCCCUGGUCUCUCCAUGGCUCAAUCGUAUUCCUCGUCAGCCUAUUUAAAACCACAAGCUCCACCGCACCACAAUUGUCUCAACAGCAGAGCAGCGAUCUCAUGCGCCCAACACAAUAGAGAAUGGAUCGAGAAGAACAUGUUUUUGUCGGCAUGGGAUGCAUGGGGAACCUACUGGGCCACCCGGCCCUCGGCUGCGGCUACGGUUGGGGGGGCUGUGGCAACAACUCCGUCGGCAUCUUCAUUGGUGUCACCAGACCGCUCGAUGGCGUCGGGGCGGCGUGGGAAGCGUGACAGCAUUUUGUGGUGUCAGAGGAGCCGGCGGCAUCCAUUUCGGAGCUAUCGCCGGUGGAAACGUCCCAUUUGGCGGGCUAGGAGACGGGUACGGCGAUGAAGGUGUUGGCCGCGUCACGCUUUGAGUUUGUCAUCGUGGCCGAGCUAGCGAGAGUUCAUGCAUAUAUAUAUCUAUGUCAUCAUGGUGGAUCACGCUAGCUUAGAGUACGUAGAUGCAUGGAUCUAGGCAGUAGUGAAUCUAAGAAGGUUCUUCAACACGCUUGAGCCCCCUUCAAAAAUUAGAAAAUAAAAUUUAUUAUUAUUCAUCAUUAAAAUAUAUUUUUUGCACUAGUACAAAGUGUCUUAAGCUUAGUACAAAGUAUCAUAAAAAUAAAUGCUUUAAGCUUAGUACAAUUUUAUACUAAAACUAGUACAAAGUUAAGACAGUUAUUUUGAGACGGAGGGAGUAUAAUGUAGUGCAUAUAGUUUCUUUUAAAAGUCAAACAUUACAAAAUUUAAUUAUAUAUUUAGAGAAAAUAGGUACGUCUAAAAUAUUUUUUUCGAAAUGGUAGUUAUCUUGCUUCAUUAAAAAGAAAAGAGUUGCUCAGUUAAUUAUGAAAAACCGAGGGAAAACCAGGUUGUCCAAUUAAUUAUGGAAAACCGGACAAAAACCAUUACAAUCGUUGAUGAGCAGCACACAAGAAGAGCCUACGCACACCACUUCAAGGAGGGUCUCAGCGAGACAGCACGCAAGCGUCAUCGUCAUCACUCCUCCCCUAGAGGCGUCCUCGCCAUCCCUACACUAUGAGCAAACGUCUUCGACUCCGCCGUAGGCGAUCGUCGACUCGACCCACACUCAAGAGGACACGUGAAGCUGCAUGAAAAUCUAUGCCAAAAACUCAACCACCCACGCCCAAACGACGCAGCUCCAACUCUAACGAAGAGUUCUGCAGGACAAAACCAGGCACGGCUGGCGCCACGGGAGAUCGUCGAACGUUCUACCUGCAGCCAGUCAUCGUAUACCACAGGGGGCCCCGCCGCCGCAGCUUCGACUCCAUAGCAACAACAAACCGAGACAAGACCGUGGACACGCCGAAGAAGAGCCGACUACCUCAACCAUUGCCGUGUCGCCCACAUCACUCCCACCAUAUCGUUGCAAUAGAAAUCUGGACACCACACCCGCCACCAACCGCCAUCCACCGGUCCCACUUGCCAACGCCAAGCUCCCAAGACGAAGCCCUCAACAGGGAAUAUGACACCAAGGUGCCGCCAUCGUCCGAUCCUAGAUCAAGGUUUCCCUCGGAGAGGCCGUACUGGCCACAUCCGUGCAGGAGGGGUGGGACAAUGAAGCAAUGAUGCCUCUAAAAAGGUCAACGACGGCCACAACCGUCGUCAUCACUAGUCAAGGCACAAGGCCAAGACAUGGUUUUCACCCAGCUCCACACCACCUCAACCGCACAUCAUCCCGCAUUGACGUCGACAAGCCCACCAAACAUCACCAACUUGGUACAAGGGUUAAGGUUUUCCGGUACCAAAAGGGAAAUACUAUUUUCUUACAACUUCAAGUGAGUGUUACUACACACAUUCUAUUUUCGCUUACUCGAUGUUUUUAUAAGUGUAUAAUUGACUCGUUAUGCGUGCGCAUGUUUCACUUUAUUUUGUUAAUCAUUGUACCUGACAAGGGAGAAGUAAUAGUUAUGGACCCGAAAUGCACACCCCUCGCCGAAUGGACGAACAUGCAGGAUUGCCUCCAGAGAUAAUUUCAAUCAUUAUGGCAGUAUAUCGCCAACUUCUCGUUCAUUUCCUGAUAGCAAGGAAUUAAUAUAGAACUCCUUUAUUCAUUUUCUUUUCUUGGCAGGGCUUGGAAACGGUUCACCGUCAAGGCUCGGGGUGAUUGGAAGUCAGAGCUUACAUUUAAACAAAUAGAUUUAAGUAACUACUAGCUAGAUCCGCGCAUCUCUUUAUUCUAGUUUCAAUACCAUUAUAAUUCUUGAUUAUGUUUUUGAUUAAACUCUCUUCUCGUAAAGUGCUUGAGGCAGGAACAUGGGAACAAUUUAUGUGGAUACUAUGUUUGCGUGUUCAUUCGUCAGACGACCCAUGAGAAGGGCAAAAAUCGGGACAUAAAAAAAAUUAAAGUACGAUAAACAAUACUCACAACUUGAUUUUAUUAUCGUGAAUUGUGUUCGGUUUCAUUGAUAUAUAUAUUGACCCAUUCUUUAAAUUAGAUCUAACAGUUGUGGGACGGUCUUCUACCACAGGAACGUGUACGAGCAAUUCAAGAGGAAAUUGCUGGAUUCUUAGAUGCAGAGGUCCUAGGUGUGAAGGGAGAAUAUUAUUGCCCGUCGAUGUGAAUGGUAUGAAAUGUUAUAGUGUAAAAAAGACAUAUGUGCAUAUGUAUAACUCGUCUCUACAUUUUGUAAUAUGUUCGACAAAGCACGACGGGUGAGAUGAUGUGCAAUAUAGUUAUUCUUUUAUUGUUGUGUAUGUACCAUCCAAUUUAAUGUAAAAUACGAAUUAAAAAUUUCCCAAAACAAAUAAAUGGGAAAAUUGGGGGCAGCAAAAUAGCCCCAUCCAAUUUAAUGCAAAAUCCUAAACCCUAAAAAUUGCUUAGAAAACAACGAAAAAAUAGCCCAGGUUCGUAAUACGAACCGGGACUAAUACCCCUCCUCCCUCGCUCCCAGCCCCGUCACGUGAAAGGUCUUUAGCCCUGGUUGAUUAGUCCCGGUUCGUGAACUGGGACUAAUGGCCCAACCGAACCGAGGCUGAAGACCUUUUUUUACUAGCUAGUGUCUGCUACCUCCCGUCGUUUCUUCUAGAUUAAUAUCUCAGGGUUGUUUGAUGGGCAUAAAUAAUCAGCUUAAUAGCAACCACUAGACCAAGAGAACAAAGGUUAGCUAUGCGGCUAGCCCACACGCACGGGUUGUAGGGCCAUUCUGAUCCAACUCCCGACCAAAACUAAUGGAGCCGUCCCAACUCUCCAAUCCGGGACUGGUGCCAUGUUGAGUAUUGAGGAACCGAGGAACCGUUGUAAAAAUUAACAGCUAUCGUAUUGCUAAGCUCACAACAUUGUCAAAUUUAAUGGUUUGAGCUCCUCUGAUUUUCGCUCUCAAUUUUAAGUGGAUCGAACAAUUUACAUUAUCCAUAAUCUGGUGGCAUAUAGCUCAUGUUGCAAGGCUGUAAAGUUAUUAUUAUGUUUAGGCAUUUAUAGAAAAAUUUCUCUCACAAACAAAUAAUCUCUUCUCAGUCUGAGGACUAAGACUGACCAUAGUGGAAGUAACUUCAACAGUAAUAUAGGUCCAACUCAUCAAAUUUACCUACGUGGCCGUGAAUUGAUAAGGAGAAAGGCAAUUUGAGCAAGUUAACUAGUUACGGUAACAUCACAUAUUCCAAUAUAAUAUGAAUGUAUAACCUAAUAAAUGAAGUUUUGUAUGACAUCACACUUAUGUUACUACCACUAUGAAGGUCAGAGCCGUACCUUUGAAAUCCGAGGCCCAGUGCAAAAUCGAAAUUAGGCCCUAUAUUAUGAAAACAUAAAUGCUACAGUUUUUUUUUUCAACGAAUUCACAUGUUAUCAUAAAAAAACACCUCUUGGCAAAAAGGAAUAUAGACAGAACAAAAAAUAUCAGAACAGCUAGAAACAAAUUAGAGGGGUAAAAGGUUGGAGACCACAAACAACAACACAUGAGAUUAAAUCGCUCUACUAAAAACCAUGCAGUGAUGAGAAACACAAAUACACAGAGAGACACGAGGUUAGCCUGAAGGGUUUCCUUCUCAUUUAUUUAGCUCAUAAAAGCUCAUUAGUACCCAAUCCCUUGACCAGUUAUACUAAUCUCUGAUUUUUGGGCCCUAGAAUUUGGAUGCCUUGUACAACCGCUCGGUUAAGAUACGGGCUUAAUGAAGGUAGUAACAUGGCGAAGGGUAAUAUCACUUAUAUGUAUAUUAAGAGUGUAUGUUUCUCUUCACUAUGGUUAGUCUAACUAUACAAACUGGCACCAAGGUUUGAUUGUGAGGUAUUCUUAGUAUGGACUCAGACUAUCUACACAGAAGCUCAGUCUUCGACUACACAAGUAAUGCAGCGACAAAUUCUCCAUCUAAGGCGCCUACUUCGUCCUCUCGCCUACCUUCACUUCUCCGAAAUAAUCACUCUUCAUAUGGACUCUGGUAUAAAUGUUCACCACAUUGCAUCCACACUCGCAUGUGCAAUAAUGUUAUGUGUAUUGUUAGGUGACAUCGCUGGCCAUAGUUGAUUGUAAGGUACCAACGUUGUGUGGCAUUACCAAUGCUUCCUAAUCCUCUGUCGCUCACCAUCAAUAUAAUAGUGGUUGACGGUCAAUCCUUGCUCACCAUAGUAUCAAAUUAACUGGGUCUAAGAAUCCUGAGAGCUCCAUGGUCUAACCUAUUCAUGUGACCAUCCUAUAGAUAUCUACCACAUAUGGUUGCUAAUAUAGCCAUGACCAUGCCUCACAACAACCUCCUUAGAGAGUACCUAAUGCAUUUAUUUCGUAGAUGUUUGAUGUCCAUCAUUAUUCAUGGACAUAUCUUGAUUGGUGCAAAUAUAAGUCUAAUUGACAUGAAUGCGAUACAUCCAUUGUCUUGCUUUUGGGUAGCUUCGAGCCAUGAUUUACUUCAUCGAUUCCUAUAAAUUUUGAGAAAAUGAUAUAUAGAGCUUAUGUGCAAGUUCUUGGAAGUAUCAAAUUCAAGUGUAUUGGAGGUGCACAUUACUACAUAUGCACAUCUCCCUUACGCCAUAUUGCGAGAAAUAUUGCAAGGUAAAGCAAAAGACGUCAUAGUUUAUUUUAGGGGAAUUCACUUGCACAUCGUCUAACAUGAGGUUAAGAAGCUCAUACGAGUGUUGUAUUAGCUUAGAGAUCACAUAUAACUUAAUUCGGUUGAAAUUGUGUACCACCAAGUCUAAAGUGUUAUUGGUCGUCUAUGUGAAGUGAAUAUCUCUCCAUACUAAUUACAAUAUACUUCUCUUAUAAAUCCAGAUCUUUGUUCUAAUGAACAUAAGAUAUAGACUUGAAAUUACUGUCCUUUUGAGCACAUAGAAAGGAUUGACCUAAGAUUAUCCAGCUAGCGAUAGUUCAAAGAAGCGCGACGGGAUAAUAAGUUUGCCAUUCUGCCCAUAUGAAUGAAAUCGUAAACUGUGAGAUCACCUUUUGUGGUAAUUUCGAUUUUGAUGCUAUUUCAUGUCGAUUUAUCAAAUGCUACAUGUAUUUUACCUAAACAUGGUGUUAAUUUUAUUUUUAUCGUUGAUAGAAAAAAAUAGUCAAAUAUUUCAAGUUCUCCUAUAACAAGCUAGGUGUACAUUUUGUGUUGAGGAGAGAAUUGAUCUCUAGAUACUUGUCUAACUUGAAGUGAUGUUAUUUGUGAUAGAGGGGUGAAUAAGGUUCAAAGUAUCCGCUGCUGAUUUUCUUUUACCAAUAGUUGAUAUUACCUUUAGUUUCCUUCAAUUUUGACCAUAAACUCUACUGGAUUAAACAAUGUAGAUAGUGACAAAAAAGAGAUUGGGCCUCAGGCCUUUCGAAACAAAUUUAGUUUGAGGGGAUCACGCCCAAGCGCAAAAUUUAAAAACCUACUCUUUAAAGAGGACAACCAACACAUUUUCCAUACUAACCCCAACUUGGGAAUAUCCUAAUUUUUGUUAGUAGUAUAGAAUAGUGAGAAUCCUAUUUAUCGCUGAUUCUAGUACGUUGCCGUUGCAUCGCAUAGGGGCAACCAAGCGUCCGAUGAUGUGGGCGGUCCACUUGAUAUAUUUUUAUCUACGAGGAUACCGGUUUUUGAACUUAGGAUUCAAAAACCUAUCCCUGAUUUUUGGGCUGCCGCUCUGAACAUAGGAUUCAAAAAACUAUCUAUGAGGGGUGAAUAACCUCUUCCCCAGGGCCAGGAACCUCCCAAAAGGUUCCUGAAUUGAUUUUUUUAUAUGAUGUCUUCCUUUUAUUCUCUUUUUUCAGUUUCCUUUUUCCUGUAUUCCCUUUUUUAUUUUCUAAAAUUUCAAAAAAACUUCAAAAAAAUUGGACUUUCAAAACAUUUUAUAGUUUUAUAAGUAUAUUCAUAAUUCCAGAAAAUAAUUGAAUUUAUCAGAAUUUCUUCACAUAUUGAAAACGUCCAUAUNNNNNNNNNNNNNNNNNNNNNNNNNNNNNNNNNNNNNNNNNNNNNNNNNNNNNNNNNNNNNNNNNNNNNNNNNNNNNNNNNNNNNNNNNNNNNNNNNNNNNNNNNNNNNNNNNNNNNNNNNNNNNNNNNNNNNNNNNNNNNNNNNNNNNNNNNNNNNNNNNNNNNNNNNNNNNNNNNNNNNNNNNNNNNNNNNNNNNNNNNNNNNNNNNNNNNNNNNNNNNNNNNNNNNNNNNNNNNNNNNNNNNNNNNNNNNNNNNNNNNNNNNNNNNNNNNNNNNNNNNNNNNNNNNNNNNNNNNNNNNNNNGGAAUAUUUAAAAAAUUUGUGAAAGAAUUUCAAUUCUUAGAAGGUAUUAAUAUUUGUAAACCUUAGUUUUUUGACACGCGAACAUUUUUGAAGAUUUGAUAUCAUUUUAAUCUAGUAGCCUCAUGUGUCUACAUUCAAAUUUUGAAACCACUUUUAAAUUUUUAAACGCUUUUUUUAAUUUUAAUAUUUUCUAAAGUCAAGAACAGAUGUCUAAAAGCACGAUCAUCUUUCUAAGUCCGUAAACAUUUUGUACAUUCAUUAUUUUUUCAAAAUGUGAAAAAAGAUAACACAAGAUAUGUUUUUUUCAUCUGUUGCUAAUUACCGGAGUCCAAAGCAAAAAAGCGAGAGCUACAUGCCCGCGGGGAUCAUAGCCCCUUCGUGGGUGAUUUCCAUUACUCUACGCUGCCCCCAAAUUUGUAGCCUCAUGCCCCUCUCCUUCCUCUACUGGAACAAAAUUCGGCUUAUGGGGUGUGUUGGCCAUCAGAUCUGUCAUAAUCUAGUAGUUGAGCAUCGUCUUUUACUUUUGCAACAAAAGUCUUGUUGCACAAUCAUUUGCAACAGAGGAUGUGCUGCAACAAGGUCAUGUUGCCUUUUUCUUCUUCUUCGUUUUUGCAACAUCGAUGAUGUUUCAGAAGAACUUGUGCAGUGUUGUAGAACUUUUCGCAAUGGAAAUGAUGUGCAGAAACAUCGCCGCUUUGCCGAUAGAUGUCGUGGGAGCAAAUCCUUCGUUCACCACCGCUGUAUGGAACAAAGCCAAUGUUGCAAAAAGCCACAUCAAAAGAUCUUGUUGCGAAAAAGAAGCAUCUACAUGUUUGAGCCCGACCGUGGCCAUGACCGUGGGGAAGCUCAAGCUUGGGCCCACCCCCUUCGCACCAUGCGCGUGCGCCCUAGCCGCGGCCAUGCCUCCACAACACAGUGCAUGAACACGUGUGAGCUUCACCUAGGCAUGGCCGCUGCAGGUCAAGCUGGUAUAAAUCCACCAUGGAUAAUUACUAUAUGAGCGUUUGGAGAUGGGCCAAUUUUAAUCCUCACAGAGAUUAUAUGGGUCAAAGAGCUUAUCCAGUGGUUAGGACGGUGACGAAGGAUAUGAGACAACAUUACCCGUAACCGUCAUUGGCCUUACCCGUGAAAGGCCACACAUAUAGGCCCUAAAACCAGUAGACGUUAGAUAAUUCUCGUCCACCCACCCAAAUUUCAUCCCAUCGCAUCUAUUUUCCUUAAAAAUUCCAAAGAAAACCAUAAUGUAGCUACAAGAGAACCCCAAAUGACCUUAUAUUUUGCUUGUUGUGUUGAAUUGAGGUUUUUUUUUCUCCUGAG
RNAcentral lists this long non-coding RNA (17223 nucleotides) under Hordeum vulgare. RNAcentral describes it as "long non-coding RNA (HVUL_LNC014126)". Lineage: Eukaryota; Viridiplantae; Streptophyta; Magnoliopsida; Poales; Poaceae. The record is from RNAcentral.